GCGCGCCACUGUCGACGAAAGCUGGUCGGCAGUCUACCUUGGGGUAUACCCACGGUAGUAGUUUAUCGGUAGACGGUGCGCAAACUACGAACUCGAUGGUGACGCAAGACACGGACAAGCUUUUUAUCCAGGUUCGGCCGCCGAGUUGGCGUAAUACCUACGUCCUGCGUCUGGUUGUAUUGAUUUGUGUUGAGAGAAUAUGAUGUGAUGUGUCCUAGGGGGGUCCCUUGCCCCUCCUUAUAUAGUCUGGAGGGCAGGGUUACAGAUCUGGAAACUAAUCCUAGUCGGUUACAAUUGCCAUGGAUAAUUCGAUAUCAAUUCCUAUUCUAACCGACUAGAAUCCUGCUUGAUCUCCCCAUCUUGUUUCCUUGCGCGAAACUCCAGGUUGUCGGAUCAAGCCUUGAACUCGUCUCGUAAUAGGCCAAGCUUCCUGGCCGAAGUCUAACCGUAAGGGUAUAGGGGUUUAUACCCCCACAAUUUCUUGUAGUGGCGUACUGGUAAAGAGAGAAGUCGGACAGGAGAAAAGAGAAGCAUACUGGUGAGGAAGCUCUCUCCAUAGGGUAGAGGGGGAGGGUGACUUAGACCUGCGAAGGUGGUGGUAUGGUUGGGCCUUCGCUCUCUUCCAAGUCUUUUUUUAAUGAAAAAGUCUACUUUUUUUUUCUAACUUUCGUGAAAGUCCAUUUUUUCCCUCAACUCUAAAAUUGGGCAAACCACCUCCUUUAACUUUUCAAACCAUACAUUUAACCUCCUUGAAGUGGUUUUAAAGGUAAUUUUGCUACAGCAAAUGAUGUUUUUUUUCUACCGUGACAGUGGUUUUGUCUUUUUUUUAUUUUUUGGCUAAAUUUUUGAAAAAUCAUAAUAAAUUAUAGGAAAAUCAUAAAAUAAAAAAUCUAAUUUUGUUGGACUCUACAUGAGUAGAGCUACAUAGUGAACAUAUAAUAUGGUAUGCUUUAGUAUAAAGUUUUUUUUGUGUUUUCUUUUUAAUUUAUUCCAGCUAAAUCUUUAAAAAAUCAUAGUAAGUUACAGAAAAAUCAUAAAUUAGGAAAUCUAAUUUUGUUAGACUCAACAUAAGCAUAUGUACACAGUGAACAUAAGAUAUUGUAUACUUUAGUAACUUUUUGCUAUAGUUUUAGAUCCAUGCUUUUAUGUAAUUAAUUAAAAUAAUUUAUAGCUGCAGCUUCUAUUUUUUUUUUGUUAGACUUUUGUUGGACUAAAAAGCAUACAAUUUAUAUAUUAGUUGUGUAUAUCUUUGAAAGGAAAAAAGUGAAUAACACUGCAAAAAUAAAUUUGGUAGGAGAGAAAAAGAAAGAAAGAAGUGCAUUUGUACCUUGAACCCUAGUGCCGUAGCAGCAAAAUCUUGGGGGGGGGCACGGCCGGGGAGGCAACAGGCGCAGCAGUGGAGACCCGGCCGGAAGGGCAUGCAAUAUAUAGGCCGCCUAGGGCACGAACCAAGCAGUGAAGGACGGUGCAACAUGGGACGCAGUUUUUUUUUUUUUUGCCCUUAAGGCAUAUGCCCUCACUCUCCCACCCAUUGGAUUCGCUUUGAGAAGUGUGCAAACACACAUCUCAAUGUAGUUUCGCAUUG
Molecule: long non-coding RNA, 1585 nt
Filed under: Sorghum bicolor (sorghum)
Lineage: Eukaryota; Viridiplantae; Streptophyta; Magnoliopsida; Poales; Poaceae
Description: long non-coding RNA (SBIC_LNC013431)
Source: RNAcentral